Long non-coding RNA from Scylla paramamosain (green mud crab), 1586 nucleotides. RefSeq lists it as uncharacterized. The transcript has 2 exons. Lineage: Eukaryota; Metazoa; Arthropoda; Malacostraca; Decapoda; Portunidae. The record is from RefSeq and is a predicted model, not a curated record.
AAGGACAUAUCUGUUUGAAAAUAUAAUUAUAUAAUGUGGGAACAAAGAGAACGGUGCAUAAAUUUCAGAUAUUAAAAGAGAAAAAAAGGAGGCAGCAGGCAGGGACGCGUGGGGAGGCUGUGUUAAGAAGGCAACAUACAACUCACCAUGCAUAAAAAUAAAUAAAUAAAUAAAUAAAUAUAUAUAAACAAAUAAAAACAAAUAAAUAAAAUAAAGUAAAAGAAUAUAAUUUUUCUACGACGUGAAAAGAAAAAAAAAUUGUACCUUGAUGGAAAGAAAAUUUUGUUGCCUCUUCCGGGGGUUGUAGAAAACUUUUACCUAAUAUUUUUCAUACACCAUUUACUUCUAGAUUUUUUUUUCCAAAUUGUGAUCAGCAGUGAUAACGAAUUACUCUGAAAGCCUAACCAAAACCUGACAUAACUGAAUUAAUUUAAGCCUAACCUAACUGAAUUCCUCUAAACCUAACCUAACCUAACCUAACCGCUAAUGUUACUCCAAUGCUGCUAUCUUUCUUGUGUGGUGGAAGAACGAAAAUGUGAAGGAACCGAAAGGAGGUAAAGGCACAAGAAUCUUUCUCCUGAGGCGUCUGGCAGCGCGGUGUUUGCCUGAAGGGACAGAUAGGCUAACAGAGAAGGCAGGCAAAUUUUACAAUCGUGUCUUUGUGGUCGUACAGAAGCUGUCUCAGAUCUGGUGGGGAGGGAAGGAGGAGUGGGGGAGAUGGGAGGGAAGAGGGGAAGAGAGAAGAGGUAAGAGAGAGAGAAGUACUGAGGUUACAGUGAGGUGAGGUAGUUGAGUUAAAACUGCCGCCGACGCAUUAAGGUAUCCUGUGUGUGGACUGCGAUUAUCUCUCUCUCUCUCUCUCUCUCUCUCUCUCUGGCGGUUCUAGUGCAAUACUUGUAAUGAAUACAGAGUGUAAUGAGCAAGCACACACGGGUGCACACUGACUGUGACGUGACCGCUGACGUUACGAGAAAGGUGAUGAACUAACAAAGGAAAACAAACAAACAAACAAUAAUAAUUGUGAAGAUAGAGAGAGAAAGGAUAAGAAGACAGUUCCUGCACCAUUCCGUUCCUCCCUGUCCUCCUCCACAGCAUGGCAGAAGUGAAAGCCCAGGAAAGAUCCCAUGUGGGACUGCAGCUCCAGGUCCUCUUGCACAGAGAUGGUGGUGUCCCGCACGUUGAGAGCGGCAGCCACCCUCACCCCAGCCUGUGCCAGCCCGGUCACCAGCCUCCGCCAGCCAUGCAUGCCCACCCUUGCUCCAGGGAAGUCCACUUCCUAGAAUCUGGUUGGUGUGUGUAUACUGGAAUGUGCGUAGUUAGGUGGAGCAGUGAUGCGCUUGAGUUGAGUAACCAGAAUAACUGUGUGCUUGUGUAGGUGUUUACAGGAUGGACUUCAGAUGAUAUGAGAAUUGUGAUAUUUGCUUGCUCUCCACGCCGCCUCCCCACCACCUGCUUCCUCUCUCUCUCUCUCUCUCUCUCUCUCUCUCUCUCUCUCUCUCUCUCUCUCUCUCUCUCUCUCUCUCUCUCUCUCUCUCCCUCCUCGCGAUCAUUGUAAUUCCCUUGAUUUAUAAAAGUUAUCCACUGAA